Molecule: ribosomal RNA, 253 nt
Filed under: uncultured bacterium
Lineage: Bacteria
Description: partial 16S ribosomal RNA
Rfam family: Bacterial small subunit ribosomal RNA
Source: RNAcentral
UACGAAGGGGGCUAGCGUUGUUCGGAAUUACUGGGCGUAAAGCGCACGUAGGCGGACUACUAAGUCAGGGGUGAAAUCCCGGGGCUCAACCCCGGAACUGCCUUUGAUACUGGCAGUCUCGAGUCCGGAAGAGGUGAGUGGAAUUCCGAGUGUAGAGGUGAAAUUCGUAGAUAUUCGGAGGAACACCAGUGGCGAAGGCGGCUCACUGGUCCGGUACUGACGCUGAGGUGCGAAAGCGUGGGGAGCAAACAGG